Molecule: ribosomal RNA, 550 nt
Filed under: uncultured bacterium
Lineage: Bacteria
Description: bacterial SSU rRNA
Rfam family: Bacterial small subunit ribosomal RNA
Source: RNAcentral
UGGGGAAUAUUGGACAAUGGGCGAAAGCCUGAUCCAGCCAUGCCGCGUGUGUGAAGAAGGCCUUUUGGUUGUAAAGCACUUUAAGUGGGGAGGAAAAGCUUGUGGUUAAUACCCAUAAGCCCUGACGUUACCCACAGAAUAAGCACCGGCUAACUCUGUGCCAGCAGCCGCGGUAAUACAGAGGGUGCAAGCGUUAAUCGGAAUUACUGGGCGUAAAGCGCGCGUAGGUGGUUAUUUAAGUCAGAUGUGAAAGCCCCGGGCUUAACCUGGGAACUGCAUCUGAUACUGGAUAACUAGAGUAGGUGAGAGGGGAGUAGAAUUCCAGGUGUAGCGGUGAAAUGCGUAGAGAUCUGGAGGAAUACCGAUGGCGAAGGCAGCUCCCUGGCAUCAUACUGACACUGAGGUGCGAAAGCGUGGGUAGCAAACAGGAUUAGAUACCCUGGUAGUCCACGCCGUAAACGAUGUCUACCAGUCGUUGGGUCUUUUUAAAGACUUAGUGACGCAGUUAACGCAAUAAGUAGACCGCCUGGGGAGUACGGCCGCAAGGUUA